This 491-nucleotide ribosomal RNA is filed under the name Spodoptera frugiperda (fall armyworm). RNAcentral's name for it is "partial 16S ribosomal RNA". The record is from RNAcentral. Lineage: Eukaryota; Metazoa; Arthropoda; Insecta; Lepidoptera; Noctuidae.
UUAUCAAAAACAUGUCUUUUUGAAUUUAAUAUAAAGUCUAAUCUGCCCACUGAUAUUAUAAUAUAUUAAAGGGCUGCAGUAUAUUGACUGUACAAAGGUAGCAUAAUCAUUAGUCAUUUAAUUGAUGACUUGUAUGAAAGAUUGGAUGAAAUAUAAGCUGUCUCUUUAUUAUUUUAUAGAAUUUAAUUUUUUAAUUAAAAAGUUAAAAUAAAUUAAAAAGACGAGAAGACCCUAUAGAGUUUUAUAUUUAAAAUAAUUGAGAUUAUUUAUAAAUUUUUUAAUUAAAAUUAUUUUAAUUAUUUUGUUGGGGUGACAAAAAAAUAUGAAAAACUUUUUUUAUUAUUUAACAUAGAUAAGUGAGUAUAUGAUCCAAUAUUAUUGAUUAUAAGAAAAAAUUACCUUAGGGAUAACAGCGUAAUUUUUUUUUUUAGUUCGAAUAAAAAAAAGAGUUUGCGACCUCGAUGUUGGAUUAAGAUAAAAUUUAAAUGUAG